Mus musculus (house mouse) is the source of this 18522-nucleotide long non-coding RNA. RefSeq annotates it as RIKEN cDNA 1700030L22 gene. NCBI's taxonomy places the organism in Eukaryota, Metazoa, Chordata, Mammalia, Rodentia, Muridae. The transcript is spliced from 2 exons. The record is from RefSeq and is a predicted model, not a curated record.
GUGUGUGUGUGUGUGUGUGUGUGUGUGUGUGUGUACACAUAACAUGUUGACCUAUGAGCUAUGUGGUGAAUGCUCAUGGUGUUUUUAAAUUGAAUCACAGUUUCUUUCUGAGAGAAGAGCAAAUCCCUUACUGUAAGUACUUCUAACCAGUCCUUGAGCCAAGAAUUGCUCAUAAUCCUCUGCCACAAUCCAGUUUUCUGAUUAAAACCUCUACUUUAUACUCUGAUUUCCAAAGAACUGUUAAAACCUAUAUCCACCCUUCUUUUUAUUGGUCAAAUAUUAGUUUAUGUUUUACUUAUUUUCAUCUUCUUUUUACUGGCUGUAAUUCCCACUGUAAAGCCAUCUUUGCUUUAGCAUUGAAUCUUCAGUCAACCUCCUUCUUCCCAGUACCCCAAACUAGAAAAACAGAUGAAGACAUUAUAUGCGAUGCUUCACCUUGCAAGAGUCUGAAUUUCAGAAAUACAAUCCAGGACUUUUCUCACCAUCUUCCUUCUGAAUUUAUCAACAAGCAGGUACAGAGGUUUCACAGAGCAACGCUGAAAUCUCUGCCUUCAGGAUGUGUGUGCUUCUCACAACUACUCUGAUCAACUCACUGUUUCCUUCCCUGUCUAUUAGAGACCACUGCAGGUCUGGAUUACAAGCUCCCCUGAGACACUCAGCACUUGUGAGGACUCCUUAGUGUCAACAAACACAGUGGGGGCGGGGGGAGACACCAGCCUGUGCUGCAGGGAGCAGCCCAGACUGCUGCACCACUCUACUGGGCAGAGGUGCCCCUUUAUAUAGAAAAUCAAAAGCCUGUAUUCACCAACCUCUGGAGGGUCACUGGUAAUUGCCUGCUACUGCUCUAUUAUUCUUUGAAUACUGGUUUCAUAAUUUUCUCUGUUCAAAAAUCAUGUGUUUUAUUGGCAUAUAAUAUUGGUAUAUACAUUCUGAUCAGAAUAAUUAGAAACAAUGCAGUGCUUUGUGUGUGUUUGUGUGUGUGUGUGUGUGUGUGUGUGUGUGUGUGUACAGAUGUUUGGUGAUCAACUUUGAAAAAAACAGACAAAAUAAUUUUGAAUGAAAAUAAAAUGGAGUAGCUUCUCAAUAAAUAUGAACCAGUUACCAUAGAGAUAGAUAGAUAGAUAGAUAGAUAGAUAGAUAGAUAGAUAAACAUUAAAAUGAACCUAAUAUAGGAUAUACAAAAUUAUCCAAAUAAUAAAAAAAUGAAAGUUAUUUUCAAAAACACCCAAAAAACAAAACACCAAAAUCUAGGAGUAAGUGUCAUAACUCAAGAGGUUAAAAUAGGAAAAUUGUUUCACAGUUGAACAGGUUUAGUUAUUUACAAAGAACAAGCCUGACAUACUAUUAUUCCUAUACAUUAAGCUUUUGGCCUAUAUGGUUGAAUAAUAUCCUAUGUGGAGUUAUAGAGAUGAUAAUGGUGACUUUUCACACCAGUUUGUGAUCAUCAUUUUAAGAUUAGGUCCAAAGAAAAUUAGAUCCAAUGAAUGGUAUCUAAAUUUUUAUUAUAAUUUGAGUGGAUAUUUUUAAUUGGCAACACUAAUUAUACACACAUACAUCUCUCUAUAGCUAUGUUUUUAUAUUGGCACAAAAAACACAAUAUUAUAGAAACAUAAACUCUAUUCUCUCAUAUGUUGCCUGUAUCUCCAUCAUAAUGUGCAUCUCAUUAUCUUGCCCUAAAUGACAUAACAGUGCGCAUUUUAAUAUUAACUCAAAGACAUUUCUAUCUCUUUGCCUAUCCUAAACGAGACUGUGACUUUUUUUAAUACAUGCUUUUUAACUGGCAUCUGUCUCCCAGAGGACGGGAAGAUAACACGACUAGUCCUGCAGGGAAGCUUCAGGUGAUCUUUCUUGAGACUCCUCUUCACCAGUUGUACGUAUAGAAAAAACCUUGAAACUGGUUUUAUUUACAGUUUGAGCUUAUUGUGACAGUUUCAGGCUGUUGUCGCCUUGGAAACAGGAUGACAACAAUUCUGAGGGACAGCUGGACAAUGCACACUUUCACGCAUAGUCCUCUCUCUUGAUUUGUCUGAGGCAAAUGUAGUAAGUGGGGGAAAAAAUCUGUUCAGAUAUACAGAAGGCAGUGUCUUUUCAUGAAAAACAAAAACAUCAAAGCCAUUUUAAAGUAUGAAACUUUAUCCAUGAUGUGAUACACAAUUAUACACUCUGCAACUCUACCUUGAUGCAAAAAAAUCACAUCAGGUAAAUUUUUUAAAAACAACAUAUUAAGAUCAUUGAGCAGAGUUAAAGCACAUUUUAAAAAUAUAAAUGUAUCUUAAAAACUAGGAAAUUAUCACCAAUUUUAAGUGGUCAUAUUUUUUGAGGUAGGAUAGUAGGUAUUUUUAACCUUUAUAUUUCUACGUACUAUGUUACAUAUAUAGGAUAGCUAUUUGAUAUUUAUAAUCAAAAAGGCAGUAAACUAUUAACAUCUUAAAUCUGACUUUAAACUCAUUAUCAUAAAACAAAAGCAAUUACAAGAAUCAAUAGUUAUGAUUCCGAAUCCCAUGUGAGACAUUUUUAUAGGUCUAGCUAACUCUCCAAUACCUAUAGAGAGCAAUUGUGAACAUUCAUUAACUACAGAAACACAAAGAUCUCCAGGUUUAAGAGGCCUGUGUAUUCAUGACAUGACAACGAACAGCUAUAUUCACUGGAUGAGGAAACAAUAGCACAUGUGUUCUUCAGGUACAAGGGAUAGGACCGAAGGAUAACAUGCCGUUCCUGCCCAUGGAAGUGGUGUGCUGUAGGCAAGAAGGCAGCCAUCCUAUGAGUACACUACUCAGCCCCUCUGCUGACACACAGUGACGGGCAGUGUAGUCAGAAAGCCCACCUGUCCUCUCUUCUCUAACAGUACUGGGAACCUCCACUUUUGAUACUAGUCAGGUUUGGUCUGAGUUUUAAUUCAUUCAAUAACACUGAUGACUGUCUCCAUAUGUAGUAUAUGCUCAUAAAAGGAUACAGCUUUGAGGAUGAAAAUAUUAUAUAUUUUCCCUGGCAGUUCAGUUUUAAGAUUCUAGUGGAGUCUUAAGUCAAAAAGUUAAAGUUGACCCCUCAGCUACUAGGCAAAUGUGUCUUACCUUGCAAGAAGAACAGAGCACAGUGUUUAGUGAGUUGGUAGUUCUUGUUCAACUUUGUAAAGCACAGCUUACCUUCAAGGAAUCCAAUAUUAAAGGGUGGUUACUUUGAGUGGAUGCCAACCAAGGCCUUGGCUUCAUGCAAGAACAGGUCUUAGUUCUCUUCUACAUUGCAUUCCCUGCUGAAGUUGCCACAUAGACGAGCGAGCCAUUGAAACCUACACCAGGUGGUCAUAAAAUACACAGCAUUUUUGAAUCACUAAUAAAGUCUCUUAAAUUCUCAUGUGAUUAUUCUGUGUAGAGAUGUAGGAGAGAGGCCUGGGAUGGAAGGAUAAAAGGGAAUGAAGGCCAAGAUGGCACAGCUUCCCACCAACCUGAACAGGGCAACCUGCAGCCAGGAAUGGAUUCCUGUAGACAGUUUCACUCGGCGACUUGGACCUGCUGCUUGGAUAGUAAUGGAGGAAAGAAAAAAUAAAAACUCUAAGAGAAAAAAAGGUCAAAAGACCUUUCUAACACAGAAACCUGAAGCCUCCAUUCAUCUUUUCAACAAAUAAAAAGUAGACCUCAGACAGGCUGCCUCAACUCCCAUAGCCUGCUAUGCAUGACAGGUAACAAACACGGACAUAGGCAACGGGUACAAACCAAAGUGAAGGAGAAGAACAUGAGCGUGUCUGGCUUAUAACUGAGUUAGUCCCUAAGCAGACACAGGGCAUGAAGAUUCUAGCCUAUGGGAAGACCAGGCAGGAAAGGCCAGCUCUGCUUAGGAACCUAUGGCUUCCUGCCAUUUAUAAAUAUAGCCCUUCCCACACGAACAGGAGCAAAGAUAUUUCAACAGAAUAUUGCUGUGGUCAUUUCUCAAUUUAACUCCUGAAACAAAGUUGCUGUAGCUUUGGGGAACUACUGCCAUUUAUCCAAGGGCGAUGUCCACACAGCUAAAAGUUCCAGGAAGGUAAGAGGACAAGUCUCACAUCUACUUCCUGGUCAUGAUCUACCUCAUCAGACGAGUUCCCCAGGCUGAAUGCGAACAGAGAGGCUCGUGCUGAACGGCAACAUUUCCCUCUACCAGUGCAAAGUAGCAUGAAUGGAGACAUUUCCCUCUACCAACCAGUGCAAGGUAGCAUGGAUCCAACUGAACAAAGGCCCAGCCCAUUAACCAAACUGGGUUUUAAUGAUCAGAUGAUUAGAACACCUCAUUGAUUGGGCUCUAAAAUUUUAUUGAACAUCUUCUAUUUGCCUGACGGUGUUCCGUGUCUCAGGCAAUCCACACAGGACAACUGUUAGCCCCACUUGCUGAUGAGACAGCGGAAUUACAAGAAUGAAUGCAGCAGCGAUCCCGAUGGAUCAUGAUGACAGGCACCUGCAUCUUAGGAUGGAAGAAAGUAGGCAGGAGGUUUCUAGCAUCCGACCAGUCUGACCUUGGGAAGUCUUUCCUUUGGGAAGAGAGAGCAAGCAUUUUUGCUCUGCCUUGAAACUUAGCAGCUACACAUUCUUCGGCAAAUUACAUUCUCUCUCUAAACCUAAUUUCUUUACCUUUACAUGAAGAGAAAGAACUUUUCCAUGUUCCUAUGGUCCAGGACUUAGUGAGGAUGGAAAAGAUAAGGAUGUAAAACAGUACCUGGUCCAGCUUAGAGCCCAUGCUCAGAAAGCAUGGCCCUGGCACCACGCUAGUGUUACACUGGAAUUGUGCCCUGCUAAUACUCCAUGUCCACUAAGCCCCCGCGGUAGCAUUGCUGUUGCUGCCAGAGGCAUCUCACACCAUGCUACCUUCCUCUUCCAAAGACAGGCUGGAGCUGCUCUGACUCUCACAACCCCCCCCCCAACCCCACACCAGCACCACUGUGAACUCUAACCUCUCCCACUAGUGCAGACUAGGCACUUGGGUACAAAUCAAGAUGCAGCUCUCCUAAGACUGACGUCAGCUGGCAGCCACAGGCCACUGUGCCCCUCUGGUACUUUCCUAUAAGCGAAUUUGUAGCUGAGCGUUUUAACAUGGAAGGCUUGCGGUGUCCGUUGUCUUUGGUGUUCUACUCUUUCAGGAAAGGAGUCAUUAUCCAUACUUCUUUUAUUAUCUUUUACUAUUUUAAUAACUGGGGGGGGGGGGUUGAUAACAGAUCUCCAAUCAUGCUUGCUACCUUGAAAACCCAGUCUCUUCAGGUGUAAGUCAGUCUGUUUGCCUCGCUAUCCAUUCUAGGUCUGAACUCACAUGUUCUAUCCGGUUACGACAGUCACAUUUCUUAAAGCGCUGUGACUGCCAAGCUAAGGUACACCGGUGUCAGAGCCUUACUGAUUUCUCUUGAGAUGGUAGCACCGUACAAAACCACUUUCCCCGGCACAACGUGACAGCCACGCAGGUGAAAAUUCCCGAGGUUGGACCGACUAUAACACUAACAUGUAUAACACUGACAUGCAACUCAUAAAUCACCGACCAUGGGGGGGGGGCGUGGGGGGCAAGCUGCUGCUUCUGCUAAGUUAUUGAGUUUCUAAACUUUCACAGUGUUCGAAGAGUUUCUGUAGAUUCAAGGCCUAUGCAAUAAAUAAAUCACAUGCCCAUUUUCAGGAACUGGAAAUCUCAGCUAGAUUUUACUUCCUACAAAACCCUCAAAAUGAUAAGUGACUAUAAAUUUCAUGUGCUAUAAUCUUAAAUUUAAAACUUUGAAGUCCUCAUUCUUUAUAUUCCUUCAGAAGAAGAAGGGUCUAACUUUUUUGUAUGUCAGUAACUAAUGUCUUGUUAAAACUUGUGGUUUUCCAUUCUUUAGGCCUGUCUGACAGAUUACCUCUGUCAGAUAAUCACUUAAUUUAUCAGUAGGUUUCCCUACAGCUUUUUUUUUUUUGUAAAUGUAUACACAUAUAUUUGUGGACACUCAGAUGAUUGUAACUUGUGUGUUUAGCAUGAAUGGUGUCAUGUUGUAUGGGCCAUUCUACAACUUGCUUUAAGGUUUAUUCUUAAUUAUGUGUAGAUGUGUCCGUCUACGGGUCCACAGUGCACGUAGGUGCCUAGAGGCCAGAGGCAUCCAAUACUCUGGAACUGGGAUACAGAUGGAGGUGAAGUGGGUGCUGGGAACUAAAUUCUAGUUCUUCAGAAGAGCACUAAGUGCUCUUAGCCACAGAGCCAUCUCCUCAGCUCCUAUGAGUUACUUUUAAUCCCUUAAUAAAUGUCCUUGUCCAUGAAAAAAGUGGGUAGCUUAUUCCUAAUAACUGCCGAUUUCAACGCAUUGCCUUGACUCAGUUCCUUAGCAUUUGUCUCUUCCCGCUUUCUGGUUUUACAAGGGCUGUCCUGUGAUCAACCUUCCUGGUGUUUGCUUUUGUUCUCCAUUCUUCCACUAUUAGGAAGUCCUUUAAUUAUGCAUACAUCUUGAUUUAUAACUCUUCAAUACAUGGUUUAAUACAAGAUACUUCUGGCUGCUAAACUAGAAUAAAUUUUAGCUAUGUUUUCCACCUAUGUUAUACUUAGAGGUCUUUUCUCGGGCACAACAAGGAUCAACAAAUAAGAACCAAAGGCCAAUUCUACUAAUUUCUUCUGCUUUCUGUGAACAUAACCCAUGCCCACUCCUUUACAUAGGGUGGGGGCUGCCCCUGCACUGCUAAACAGCUGGAACAGAGCCCACACGGGCCACAAAGCAGGAAAGGCCACCAAUCCAAGGAAGCCUGCUCCCCUCUACAACAGGAAAUAGUCACCCCAGAACACUUCUGUCUCUACAAAAAGCAGGUUAAAACGCCAGUAAUUUUUAUUUUAACUCAAGGUGUAUAGUCAUAUGGGCUUCUAAAAAGCAAACCAAAGAUGCAUACCAAUUGAAAAACACAAUAUUUCUUUUAAAUUCUACAAUUGAGUCUAUGUGACUUAAUGUCAUAUCUACUCUGGCUACUUUAUAAUUUGGGGAGAUAACUGAAUGAAUACAUUAGGGAUUCUCCUUAAACAGCAGUGUGUCCUUCAGCCUGAUUAGUAAUUUAGGCUAUGAUUUUUCAAAAAAAAAUUUUGAGAUGUGAAGCAAGAAUAUAGAAUGAGGCAACUGGAGAGAUAAGUGAGUGGCAGGCUUCUGGUGUCUCUGCAUCCAUCAGCGUCUGGGAUGCUUGCCUCGGAUGCUAGCAGAAUCCUUCUUGGUCCCCAUGUGAAAUUCCUAUUGUACUGAGGGACUCACAGUAGCACCUCCAUUCACUUAAAAUCAGUACAAUGCUAUCAGUACAAAUUCUAUCACUUUAUAUUGCACUGACUACAAGAUUUAUUUAUGAUAAAAUUGGAGAAUAGGUGUCAAUGCAUAACAACAACAAAAAAGGUCAUGUGACCUUACCUCUCCAUACUCCCAUAUAAUACACUGGCAUUGACACUUGUUAGUAGAUUCUUUUACCUAUCUAAACAAUGUGAGAAGACUUGGUACAGCCAUACAUAAUUAUUAAAUUCCUAAAAUAUUUCAUUAUUUUCUACUGGACCUGUCAGGUUAUAACAGAGUUCUAUUACAGGGAACAGUCAUUGUCUCAUGUCCGUGUUGAAGUUUUUCACCUGUCCUCCUUGCUAAGCGCUAUACAAACUGUAAAGAGCAUCCUAAAUAUUGAACAAUAGCCAGACCUAGGCUUCCCAUUUAAUUCUCCCCUAAAAAGACAAAGAAUGGAUAAAUGAGUUCUGUUUGUUCAAAAAUAAUAGUGAUAAUAAUUAUUUUUCAGUCAUCUAUAGAAUGCCUAUCAGAAGAGUUCUAGAGACCUCCUUGGUGACCUGGCAACCUCUCUCGGGUGACAACACUGCAGCAGGCCACAGUUACCCUUCUCCUGUCAACUCUGCUUUAAUGAAACUCAUACAUUAAGUUUGAUGAUGGUGCUGUUGUAUAAGAACAAUGAAGAGGAGGAAAAGAUGAAGAACUACUUUUCCUAUCAAAGCCUUGGAACAAAGUGAAUACUUAUGUAAUGGCCCUAAUGCUGUAUACAAUGUUCUACAAAUUAUAACCACAAAUUCUAUGCUCACUCUUAUUGUGUCCAGCCCACUCUACUUCCCGGACCUGAUUUUGGAGUUGUGAGUUGGUAAGUUAAGAAGGGAAGAGGUAGGGGCCACUAAGUUGAAAGGGAGGAUUAACAGUCAGCCUAAACCAAAGACACAAAGGAGACAACGGAGAUGAGAAACGAUGCGGGAUCCUGCCAGACAUUUGAGGUCAGCAUCCUUGCUUCUACACCCUCUUUUUGGCCAACCAGUCUGAGAGAAGUUUCAUGUUUUCAAGUACAGCUGUUAGGAUUAAGUGCUAAGGGCUAGGGUCAGAGUUCUUGUGAGAAGACUAAUGUUGUAACCAUAAGGACACCGGUUGGUAACAUGAAGCCAGGGUACAGGAAAAAUGAAACAUCUAAAUUGCCAACAGAGACUCUGAAGAGCUAGAGGCUAGAUUUUAGAGGCUAGAUUUAAAACCAUGGCAAAUGUUUCUGGAUUCUGAAGACUCUAGAAACAAAAGGACGUUCUGAGGCAGCUGCUUUAAGACUUUAAAGAGACUCUUCAGCCCAGAAAGUUUUGGCUCUCCUUCUGACCCUAGUCUGCCAGGUCCUUCCCUCUGUCCUCGGGGCCAGACUGUUCCAGUUUGAAUUUCUUCAGGUGAAAUACCUUGUCUGUUUGGGGUUCCAAGUUACUCAUCGGCGGAGGGGACCCUAUACCCAAACCAACUUCUCAAGUUAUCAUCAGCUAGUUGUUGAGGGUCUGUGGUGCUAUCUGAUUAUCCUUCCCAGUAUUCACACAAGCUGUACCAAGGGAGAAAAGAAAACAUGCGCUAAAAGUCUCAUCACAAUUACUAUCCAGCCAACACCUGGCUGCUGCCUUGCCUACAUGCCAGGCACUUCACAUUUAUUAAUUCAUGCAAUCCUCACACAACCUUAAGAACAAAGGCACUGUGCCCACUAUAGCUAGAAAAAUGAGGUUGAACAAUUUUCCUAAGUAAUAUGUUGGACUGCAGGAUGACAUGACCAGGAUCCCGAGCAGAGUGGUUAACGUCAGGACAUCAUCCACCUAACCACACCACUAUACCACAUCUCUUAAGCUGCCUUGCCUGUAAUGUCAGGGUGGGCAAGGUCUUAAAACUAGCUGUCAUGGUCAACUUUAAGAAACCACAGCGGCAUGAAUUUUAACUUCAGUUAAGCAUCCACACUAUCCAGUGUUCUUGACUUGGAAAUUAAAACGCAAGAGACAAUGCUCAGAGCUUCCCCGUAGCCCUAUGAAGCAAGUAAUAAUCUGAAGUCUUUCAACUGCUACGCAGCUUACACUACAAACAUCUAACUUGGAUUUCCUCAAAAUCAAAAACACCUGCAUAUAUUCAAGGAAGAGCUCUCAUGAUGGUGUUACAUUCCUUUCUGAGAGCUUCAUUUAGACACCUUCCAGAGCUUCCCUUCAUGGGCACAGAAAAUCUUAAACUGUCUCUAUUUGAUUGUGCUUGCCCAGGGCAUUAAGUCCAAUCCACCACGUCUCACCUCAGUAACUCCACACAGACCAGACGAUUCCUGCAGUCAGCUUCCCCGAGGGGUUUGUUAAGUUUCACAUGCAUUUAGUCCUGCAGCUGCCCUGCUCAAGUUGAUAAACUUGUAGCUAAAUUCUUUCUGCAGCAAUGCGCUGCUGGGCUUAUGUUUUUUUAUCACCAGGAGAAUAAAUACUGCAAAAGAAGCUGUUACUAUGUGUUAGUGUUAUCCAUUAGUUUUUAGCAUAAUUGAGCUUACACUGCAAUUUCUCAGUAACUGAUAAGUAUAUUUUGUGGAUGUGGUUAAAAGGUGACAAGAAUUAAAAAGGGCUAAUACUUAAAUGUAUUUUAUAGCAAGAAAAGGAAGGAAUUUUGAUGCAUUACAAAGAGCAACAAAAUGAAGCAGAAAUUAUGGAUGGAAUUUCAUUUUUAUUAAAAUUCUGAAGUUACUAUGACACACCUAGACAGAACUCUUUUAAAAGGAGCCACCACACACACACAUUCUCUACUCUCAUCCUGUUCCUUACACAGAGAGUUUGAAUGAUUUGCCAAGGUCACUAGCACCAAUGACAAUGGUCAGGGCUAGAUCAUUGGUCUCCUAAUUGUAAUCAGCGCUCUGUGAAACAUGGUCCAGCCAAUAGCAAUAAAACAUCUGCAUCCACAAGUGCUGCUGACAUCUGAAACCCAAUGCAUAUUACAUCAACACACUGUAGCCAUUCAAGACACCACUCGUUUCAGUGUCACCAACAAUAUCACACAAUACCAACUGUUAUCAGAAUUGGUGGGAGUUACCACCUCCCUGCAGUCUGCUUGUAACAUAAGUUCUGUUGUUUUUUUUAAUAGAAUGUCUGCUAUAUGGUCUUUAACAAUAUCACACAUAUGGGAUUUAUCCUGACCAUAUACACCCAAAACUCCCCAGUCCUACUCCCCUGGGGAACCCCCAAACCAUCCCCCUUUGCCUUUCACUUCCUCUCUAUUUGUUAUUUUCUUUCUCUUCAUAGUCCAUGGGGUCCUGUUGGGAUACAAACAGCCUUCUUGGCUUAAUCUUGUGGGGGUCUUGUGCAGGUAACCAGAGCUGUGGGUUCAGGAGUGCCAUGGACACAUUGUGUCCAGAAGACAGUAUUUCCAGGCAUAUCUCCUAUUCUCUGGCUCUUACAUUCUUUCUGUGCUCUCUACUGUGUGAGUGUGUUCUUUGUGGGGAGGGGGAGAAUGCAGGUGUUCUAGCUAUCGUUUACUUUAAUACCCUGCUUCUCUCCACUAGAAAGCCUUUCUGGAACCUUCUCUUGCUUCAGUGUUGUACCUUCCCCAAUUCUACAAGGCACAAAGCCACUGACUGGUCCUGUACAAGCUUGCCUGCUGCCUUCACUCAGUCCCUAACAACUUGUAUGUGUCUAUUUAUAGCCUGUCAGAAGCCUACACAAAACCCAAACAUUCUUGUAAUUUUUGAUUCCUCUUCUCAGAAGUCAUCAAUGACUCCCAACUGCCUCUUGAGUCAAAUGAAAACAUCUAUCCCAAUGAUUAUCUUCACUCCUAAGUACCUUCAUCAUUACUCAAUGCAUCUUUUUUUUUUCAGCAUGUAUUUGCUGAGUAAUCAUCUUGUGCCUAGUUACAUGCUCUACCCUGUGAGAAGUUAUAAGAUCUAUGUCACACUCCCUGCCCUUACCGAUCUUAACAAUCAAUGUGGAAAGACAAAACAUGCACACAGCAAACAUUUUUAUAGCAAGAAAGGCUGCACAUGACUAUGUACCAGGGGCUCUACGAAACAUACAUCAAUGUUUAUCAAAGGCUACGGUGCUUGUAUAAGCCAUGGAAGCUCUAGAAAGGCUGGGAUAACCCAUGCUCUAGAAGUGUGUAUGUCUAGGGUAGGAAUUGGCUUCCUCUAUACUCAGAGACAGAAGUAAAAAGUCUCCCUGGCCUAGAGCCUUCUUGGGGCUAGUAAUUAGAACUGCGACUGGGAAAGAGGCAGACAUAGAAUAAUAAUGAUUCUUUAACAGUACACUAUGGUACUUGGAACUGCUCACACAAAGGGGAGGAAAGAGUUACUGAAAACAUGGCAAGGACAAAGUGACUGCUUACCAUGGAACAAUAUUCAGCAUGGAACUUUAGGUAGGAAUUAUUAUUAUAAUAAAAUCAUUUUUAAACCAGUGCAAUUAUCAGGAGAUUACUUUGUUAGUGGCCACUGACAAAAUCAUCUACACACAGAAGAAGGAAUGAAGCAGAGGCCAAGAAGAUAUGCUGCAGGUGCCUGGUAAAUACAAAAAUGAAAGAGAAAUUUUGACUAGAGUAUCACGCUAUGGUAAUAAAAGACAAAGCAUCUUAUUUUUUAAAAUGAAGCCAGGAAGGAGUAGGUAUGGAGACUGUUGAUGACAGGGCAGACUGCAGAGAUGAGCCUAACGUGCAGGUGGAAAAUGAGGAUAUAGUCUACAUUUGUAAGACCCUAACAAAACUGCUACCAAGGGGGUGCUCUGUGUUUUACAGAGCCAUGCUCCUUCCUGCACAGAACCCAACUCCAUUGUACCCCAGCCCUUGGUUGGUGUUGCAGCCAAGAGGCUAAGUUCUCCAGUUGGUAUGCUAUGAGUAGGAAUGCUUCCCUGUGAGGAUUGCCUGUAUCUCCCAUGGACAAGACAUUCAAGAUGGCCCUUAGAAAUACAGUGAGUUCAGUUGAAAGCUUGCCUGGGCUACAUGAGACCCUUUCUCAAUAUAAAGAGAAGAAAGAAAGAAAGAAAGAAAGAAAGAAAGAAAGAAAGAAAGAAAGAAAGAAAGAAAGAAAGAAAGGAGGGAGGGAGGGAGGGAGGAAAGGAGGGAGGGAGAGAGAGAGAUAAAGGAAGGAAGGAAGGAAGGAAGGAAGGAAGGAAGGAAGGAAGAAAGAAAGGAAGGAGGGAGGGAGGAAAGGAGGGAGGGAGAGAGAGAGAUAAAGGAAGGAAGGAAGGAAGGAAGGAAGGAAGGAAGGAAGAAAGAAAGAAAGAAAGAAAGAAAGAAAGAAAGAAAGAAAGGAAGGAAGGAAGGAAGAGGGAAGGGGGAGAGAGGGAGGGAGGAAGGAAGGAAGGAAGAUGGAUGGAUGAGGGAGGGAGAAAGGAGGGAGGGAGAGAGGGAGAGAAGGAGGAACAGAAAAAAGGAGGGAAAUAAAUAUAGAGGGAGGAACUUAGAACCUAUAAGAAGAUUCCUAUCAUCCAAGCCAUCUGGAUUGAAUUUGGAUGUUUGAACAACUACACUAAGUAUAAGAAGUUGGUAGAGAGAGGUUGGGGAAUAUGAUGCAAAAAGCACACAACUCUGAUAUCAUUAAGUCAUUGAUACCCAGAAUUGCUUGGUCAGCUAUUAGCCUAUUUUAAUAUGGUUGGUUUCCAAGAGAACUCUACAGCUCACAGAAUCUCAGCUAUUGCAUUAAACCUUGCAUCCGUGCCCUUCCCAAUGCCUGGCCCCUUUGCUUUUGUUUGGUUGUUUUGUUUUGUUUUUCCAUUCAGUCUACUUCCUAGAAUGAUUCCACUAAGCUGACCCUUGUUCUUCCUGGCUUUGUGCUUCUGCAUCCAAUUCACACAGGUAGCAGCCCCUGCCUCUCUGCAGCUGGCAACAGCCACAGCAUCCAUUUUCCUGUCCCCACAGCAUCCGUGCAAAUAUCUCUAUCCAUCUGUAACUGGUUAUGACUAUGUUUUUAUGUUUAUUUCAUCUGUUAUCAUGUAUCUCCAUUUAUAUCUGUUCCAUUAGAUUAUAACCUCAAUAUGAACAAAGAUUGUGCUUACUAUUUCCUUUGUAAUUUCCUACAUGCCUCAUAUACUGCCCUACGCUGUCAGUGGUUCAUAAACGCAACUAAUUGAAGUUCAACCUUCUACUCAGAUCUUUGCACUAGAUGUGAAACCACUCAGAGUCUGUGUCUCAAACAAAAUGCACACACAGUCUUGCAUGGCGCUCUCCUUUAUCGAGCAACAUCAGGGAAUGAGCUGGCCCAGAGAGUUAAUCUUGCAAUCAAAUAUACUGCAGCCAGAAGGAACACAGAGACACCUUGGGAACAACACUGAACCUCACUCACUCCUCGGCAAACCUCGGCGGCUGCAUUACAUCAUUCUGAACACGGUCUCAUCACUGGCCCUGAAAAUCUGAUCUAAUGAAGCUUCAAGUACAGAGAAGAGGAGGAAGAAGGGGGAGGAAGAGGAGGAGAAGGAGGAGGAGCUAAGAAAAUAUAAUGUUAUUAAUUAACAGAGUGGCCCGCACAAAUAAUCUUUAAAAGUGUAUAUGUGGUGUACAUAUGCAUAAGCAUCCACCUGUGUCUGCAUUGGUAUAUGUCCAUGUGCAUGUAUGUGUUCAUGUGCACGUGAGGCUAGAGGUCAAUGCUAAGUGUAUUCCUCUGUUGCACUCCACCUUGCUUUGUGAGAUGGGGUAGCUCAAUAAACCUAGAGUCUUCAAUUUGGGCUUGUCAGCAAACCACAUGGAUCACCUGUCUCUGCCUCCUAGUGUCAGGAUCACAGGCGUGUGCCAUAAUGCCUGGUGUUUUACACGGGUGCUGGGAUUACACACUUAGGGCCUCAUUCUUGCACAGUCAGCACUUGACUGACCAAGUCAUCUCUUGACCCUCCCAAAUAUGGAAUUUUGGGGGAAUUUUUACCAAAGAUAGAAAGACUUGCAUUAUUCCUCCUGAAAAUAUCAAAGGAGAAUAUUAGAAGGCUAAUACAUUGUAUCCUCUUCCCUACAACCCCAUGACCAUGAUCCUGUCUUUUUUCUUUUGUUCUAUGUUUUCUUCCUCACCUGUACUCCACCUUACUUUCAGAAAUGUAGUAUCGCCCUGCAGUUUAACCAGGGAUGUUUGAGUAACCACAGAUAUGCAACUAUUAGUGGACUCUGGUGAGCUCCCCAGUGGGUUCCCAUCUAAAGAACAUGACUCCCCACUCCCCUGCGAGCCCCUUACUCGCUAAUACCUUAGCAAGGAUAGGUUCAGUUCCAUAGACCCCUUCCCCAUCUGUACUGGCUAUUUUUGUGUCAACUUGACACAGGCUGGAUUUAUCACAGAGAAAGGAGCUUCAGUUGGAGAACUGCCUCCAUGAGAUCCGGCUGUAAGGCAUUUUCUCAAUUAGUGACCAAGGGAGGAGGUCCCCCUUGUGGGUGGUGCCAUCUCUGGGCUGGUAGUCUUGGGCUCUAUAAGAGAGCAGGCUGAGCAAGCUAGGGGAAGCAAGCCAGUAAAGAACAUCCCUCCAUGGCUCUGCAUCAGCUCCUGCUUUUUGACCUGUUUGAGUUCCAGUCCUGACUUCCUUGGUGAUGAACAGCAGUAUAGAAGUGUAAGCUGAAUAAACCCUUUCCUCUCCAACCUGUUUCUUGGUCGUGAUGUUUGUGCAGGAAUAGAAACCCUGACUAAGACAUCAUCCAUGACUAGCAAUUGACUGGUUCAGUCUGUGUAGGCCCAGGGCAGGCAACCACAGCUGCUGUGGGUUCUUGAUUGCAUUGGUGAAGCCAUGCCCAGACAAUAGUAUUGCACAGCUGUUCUUCCCUUCUUCCAGCUGCUACAUUCUUUCCACUCCCCUUCUGCAAUGUUGCCAACCUUAGAGGGCAUGGGAUCGUGGGAUCGAAGUCCUCUUUAGGACUAGCACCCUUCCUUAUUCUUAGUACUUUGAGCAAUCAGAUGUUGGAGGGAGAUGAGAAACUGUGCAACAUAAGAGUAAUCAGAGUACAUUUUGAUACAUAUAUACAUGUAGGAAAUUGUCCAAGAAGAAAUUUAUUUUGUAUAAAUAAGUACUUGGUACUGGGUAAAAUACAAACAGAAAUCAUCCCUCCCCAUUAUCCAACCACAAUCUUGCCUUACUUGUACAUGAAAUGGGUACAAUGUGGUUCUUUUUCUUUUUUCAACAAGAAUUUUUCUACCAAAAUCCAAAUAGAAAUAUCAAUAUUUUGAUAGCUCACAUAUAAAAAGAACUCUAUUGAAAUUAUAAUAAAUUGAAAAGUCCUUAUGCCUCUCACAAAACACAAAUGUAUACUGGCUAAUUAUUUACAAACCCAGCUAUGUGACAUUAAAAAAAAAACAAAAACAAAAACAAAAAAACAUAACACUGGUUGCAACUCCAAUCUAAUUCCACAUAGCACUCAUACUGAAAAUCUGAAAAUCAAGAUGUGGCCAGGUGCAACUGGAAAAUUUUUUUUUAACCACAAUCAAUUUAUAACUGAAGAAGUAAAAAUUACUGCUUAAGACAGAAAAUUAUUAUUUAAAAGCUAAGUGUAGUCAUCCAUCACACUCAUUGCAGGGUGUGGGGCGUGCAGAAAGACGUGGGUUACAGACGGUCCACUCUCUGAGCACCAGCUAUGAUGGGCAGGAGAGAAAGGCUCCAGGACUGUUGCUCCCAUGGGCAGAAAAUGGAAUGGGAGGGGCUACCUUCCAGGGGAGCUGACACUCAGGGUCUGUCUCAGAGUGUGGCUGGACUUACCAAGACAGACAGACUGAGCAUCUUGAGGCAAAGCUGGGUGCAGUAAAAGACAUAAAUUAUCUCACAGGAGCAGCAAUUCCCAUAGGUAGAGAAGGCAAGGGAGAAAGAAGAGCAGCCACAGCCAGAAGGUGGGAGCUAAGGCUUAACCAGCUUGCACAGGACUUCCUGAGAAGCUAGAGACCUGGAGUUCCAUCUGUACACAAGGGGGAGCCAGCGAAAGGUUGCUUGGCUUGUGUAAGUAACUACAGCAAACUCCACCAAACAGAAACCUUUCCUUCUAAAGUGAACAGGGCAGUAUGCAGCAUCACUAACUGGGGAAUGAACCUGGAACCAGAAUCUUGGCAUCCUCCAACCGGAAACCCUGUCCUCAUGGAAACAACUGCAUGGUCACCUAGCAACCAGCAACCUGAGUUAUAAAGUUCUGGGGUGUAUGUGUGUGUGUGUAUCGUGAACAUUUCAUAGAAGUAGAGUGAUACAACCACUUUGUUUGCUUUCCUAACUUAACACCGAUAUUUGUAUCAGUACUGAUUUUUAAUGACUAAAUAAUAUUCUAUUGUAUGCAGAUAACACACUCUUUAUUCAUCUGGUGGUGGAAUUUGUGCUUUUUUUUUUAACAUUUGUCUAUUGUAAAUAGUUCUGCUUUGUAACAUAUGUAUUUGUCUAAGUCUAAACUUUUUACCUACCAGUGAAAGUUCUGGAUAAUAUGGAAAUUCGGUUUUAUUUUUUAUAAACCACUAAAUGGCCUGCUACACUGGAUUUGAAACCCUUUUGCAUUCUCUGUAGUGUGCGUUCCUAAGCAGGUGAUGACUGAAAAGAAUGAGGUAGUUAAGUGGCCACUCAAGAUGUCUAGAUGAACGACGGCCACACUGAGCCAGGACCAGGGAGUGGGAUACAGGGACAUGCAAAAUGAAGAACACAUAGAGACAGGAACUGCAGGAAAAGAAGAGUCAGAAAUGGCCUGAGGCUUCCAGCUAUAGUGGUUCAAUCAUUCAGGAAGUUAGAGCACAGAACAAGAAGUUACAAGGGCUGAUUUGGAAAAACAGCAUAUCUUAAAGAUGAUCACUGGGCCAUGAGGAGUCUCGGGCAUGUGAUGAGGAGGAGUUCCAGGUUUACCAGGGAUUAAGACAAUGAGGGAGGCUGAAGAUGUGCAGUACAGAGCAGCUGAGUAGGGGAGACUUAGAACGAGAUAACGGGCCCCAGAUGGCAGUUGAGAGAAACUUGCAAGCAGUGCAAGGUAAAUUGUGAUCAGAGAAUGAGAGGGAUUGCAGGAGAGCUGUGGCUGAGUUUAUAAGAACCAAAAACAAGAUGGAUGGGUUAUUUAUUGGAACCUCCUCUAGACAGGCUGGGUGCUAAGUCAUGGUUAGUGUCUCCAUGAGCAAAGCACUCAACAGAACUCCUCUCGUUUAGACUGCCACGCUCUGAAGCCUCUCUAUGAACGCCAUGUUUACAAGUAUCAUCAGCUUUUCCCUAGGGGAGUUGUGCACGGCAUUAUUUCUCAUUUCUGGUUAUAUUGUGAGACUUAGGCAAGUCAACUUGCUGAACGCUCCGUGCUUGUGCUGGCAGUGAGGCUCGGGGCUGCUCCUCUGCUGUCCCAGCCAGGCUUCCUUCUGAAACUGCCUUCCUUGCUUCCGUCUUCUGUAAGGCAUUUCCUGGGGGCUGCUUCUGGUAAAGACAGGAUCCCAAUUCAAGGAAUCCAAUGUACUUAGAUAUUUAAAGUAUAACUAUGAGCAGGACUAUUCCAUUCUUUUUAUACUCAAGGUUCCAAUACUACGUUGUCUUGUGGAUUUCACUUACGGUUUUAUAAAAACAGUUUAUCCAUUUACAAUAACAUCUUAACGAAGAAAAAUAUUUUGUUCUCUAAUCGUUAGUUUACAAGGGUUUAGUAUAUUUAAUUACUUUGGUUAUGGGUCUGUUUGGUUUUUUUGUCUUUUGCUGAAGGAUACGUGUGAGCAGUAUUAGCCUCUCUUAAUUUUCGUUAACACGGUAUUAAUUUAAUAGGCGGGAAGUCAGUUGGCAAGUGUCUGUUCCGUUAGAUGGAAUAACAAGGUACCAUGGAACGCCACGAGCAUUUGCUUUCUUUUCUCAGCAGUGUACAUUAAAAUCCAACAUAAGCAUGUGUGUGAACAGUAUUCACAGGGCUUGUGACACAUUGUUUCACACAGAUUGACACAUCACUUCCUCUCCCGGCCCCCCCAUCCACACCUGCCUCCCCUUCCUCCAGUGAUCGCCAGACUGACUCCCAUCACCUUUGAACUCGAAAAAUCCCGAGGAGGGUUUCUCUGCAAAUUUGCUGCUGCUUUUUCCCCGGGGCAGAAGGCAAUUAAUUCAACUUAAAAAAUCCUCCUCUUCAAAUUCCUUCUGGACUCCGAUAAGCUAAAAUCCUGUUUAUGUAAACAAAAGUGCUUAAUUAAUCAGAGCAUGUGAUAAUGCCAAAAGGAACUGGGAAGAUUUCCUGCUACCAUUUCAGACGUCACAAUCGGACGGUGUGUGAUGGGGCGUCCCUGAAGAUGCCAGGUUCCUCCAAAAGGCAGCGGCAUUAACUCUUCUAAGGCUUUUAUUUCGCUUCAAACUAUCUCACUGUAAAUUACAAAUGAAGCGCUGUACAAAUUCAUUAGAGAAUGGCUCGUUUACGGUGGGAAA